Molecule: non-coding RNA, 73 nt
Organism: Meloidogyne enterolobii
Lineage: Eukaryota; Metazoa; Nematoda; Chromadorea; Rhabditida; Meloidogynidae
Source: the annotation of a GenBank genome assembly
UCCCUAGUGGCGCAAUGGAUAGCGCGUCAGUCUCCGGAACUGGAAGGUGCAGGUUCGAGUCCAGCUUAAGUCG